AGCGGGGUAGAGGCAUUGGUCGACUCAUCAGGCCCAUGACCUGAAGACUGCAGGUUCGAAUCCUGUCCCCGCCU
Molecule: non-coding RNA, 74 nt
Organism: Manihot esculenta (cassava)
Lineage: Eukaryota; Viridiplantae; Streptophyta; Magnoliopsida; Malpighiales; Euphorbiaceae
Source: the annotation of a RefSeq genome assembly